RNAcentral lists this long non-coding RNA (348 nucleotides) under Spirodela polyrhiza (greater duckweed). Its description in RNAcentral is "long non-coding RNA (SPOL_LNC002040)". The record is from RNAcentral. Lineage: Eukaryota; Viridiplantae; Streptophyta; Magnoliopsida; Alismatales; Araceae.
GGCGGCACCUUCCGCGCCUUCUCCAACGCCAGCUUCCACCACCUCCGCCGGAGGAUCCAAGAGGUCCGCCCUUCCGCUCCAUCGCCACCUGCCAUUCUCACAUACAAUUUCAUUUCGUGAGCUCACCAGUUCAUCACCACCUCAUCUGGCACGGGCAGGUGAUCGAGGAGCAGACGAGAGUGUACAGGUGCGCGGUGGAGGUGGACUUCUUCGAGGACCAGCAGUUCUACCCGCCGACGGUCAACGACGAGGCGAUGGCGGCGCUGGUGAAGGAGGUGGCCGUUGACCUGCUGGGGCGGGAGAGGUACUGGGAAGUGCUGCCGAGAAUGGGGGCUGAGGACUUCGCCU